UAAGUAAGCAAGGUAAUCGCUCUUCGCCGCAAGGCAGAAGGGAGGAAAGUCCGAACAUUCUCCCGUUUACGGGAAAAAGAGUAGCGGUUAACGGCCGCCGUCCGCAAGGAUAGAGGUGCGAGCAGAGACGCUUUUCUGUGAAAACAGAAGAGGAUCCAUUUGGGUCAGCUUUAAGGGAAACCUUGAAGGUGAAACGGCUAAAUCCUUACUUGAAUGCAAGAGCAAAUCUAUUUGCCGAAAGGCUUAUAGAGAAAAGUAGCUCGCUUGAUCUUGCCAAGCAAUUGGUAGGGCAGAUAAAUGAUUACCCAAGACAGAAUUCGGCUUAUUGCUUACUUAGGCU
RNAcentral lists this RNase P RNA (340 nucleotides) under Candidatus Parcubacteria bacterium. RNAcentral describes it as "RNase P RNA component class A". It matches the Rfam family "Bacterial RNase P class A". Rfam says of the family: Ribonuclease P (RNase P) is a ubiquitous endoribonuclease, found in archaea, bacteria and eukarya as well as chloroplasts and mitochondria. Lineage: Bacteria; Candidatus Parcubacteria. The record is from RNAcentral.